AGUAGCUAGUUAUCUAUGCCUCAACGAGUUGUAAAUUAAACAUUAACUUGAAUUCAUGUUUUUUUUGCCGUUAUAUAUAUAUAUAUAUAUCUUAUAGCUUAAUUGAGCAUGCAGUAUUACAUUUCGAAAUGUUAUAAUAUGUAUAUGCAUCAAGGGACAGAUAGCAAAAAAGCAUAUAAAAUACUAUAUAGUAGACGUUGAAGGGUAAUAAAAAAUGAAUGAAGUAGGGGAAAUGAAGGAGAGAACGUGAAGGUGGGCAGUCUUGCGCCCUCUGAUAGAUUCUCUAUCUCCUGUUUGAUUCUCAUGGUGCUUUUAUUCAAAUGUCUCUUUGCUCUUUAUAUAUCUUUUUCUAUCUAUUAUUACGGAUGUCUCUGCAUGAUAUAUUGGGACAUAGUGUCACGACAAGUGGCCUAACUCCUAAAUAAAGAAGGGCGACAUGAAAGGAGGUAUUAGUUAGGAAAAGAUACCGAGUUUAGUAUGUCGAAUAGACUUAACAUGUUAUAGUUUUCACUUUUCAUAGAAAAGUAAAUACCAAAAUCCAAAAUUAAUAGUCCAGUAUAAGACCCUAUAAACCUAGCUAAUCUACAUCUUACUGGUCCUGUGAGAUUGAUUUAAAUUAUAUACGUUACGAAUUUAUGAUAUGGAUGAGAAGGGCUUGUAUCCUAGUGGUCUCCCUUCUCACAGACGACUGCCAGAGGUCGCAGGUUCGACUCUCUGUCGGCGCGGUGGUACUAUGACUCUCCAAAAAAAUCCUAAGGGAUUUUCCUGGAUUUGGGGCACCGCUUGCGGUGGAGUCUAGUCACUAUAAAAUGUUUACCCAAAACAGUUUUGAGAAGGGCUUGUAUCCUAGUGGUCUCCCUUCUCACAGACGACUGCCAGAGGUCGCAGGUUCGACUCUCUGUCGGCGCGGUGGUACUAUGACUCUCCAAAAAAAUCCUAAGGGAUUUUCCUGGAUUUGGGGCACCGCUUGCGGUGGGGUCUAGUCACUAUAAAAAGUUUACCCAAAACAGUUUAAACCAAGCGCUCGUAGCUUGGUGGUAAAGGAGGUACAGCUGUACUGCCCGCCACCCGGGUUCGAGUCUUGGCCACAACGGAUUUAACAUCCCUUCCGUUGGGGCGCUGGACCCCUUUCGAGGGGAUAGUUGGGAAUGUGGCUGCCCAGAUACCAGAGUUAUCAAAAAAAAAAAAAUUUAUGAUAUGGCCGGAGACACUACCCACUCUAUGAACUUGGACAAUGCACGUCCUUAUCCAAAUUCGGCAACAAUUGACAAACUAUAUGAUGGAUAUAUCAAAUACAAAAGAGUAGUAAUAAACUUCACGGCAUUAAAUCAGUUUGGUUGUAGCCCCUCUCGUUUGACCCAUACUACAUCCUUUUUUUAUUAGACAAUGGAUUGUACAAAAAAAAGGAUUGUACACAUAAAUAAAAAAGUUAUAAUUAAAUAAUAUUUAUAUUUUAUAUUUUCAAAACAAAACAAAACUAUCAUUGAUUGUCUAACUAACCAUAAUUCAACUAAUGAAAAUAUCUACAUGACUACAUGAUAUAAAAGUCGUAUAAUAUAAAUAUUAUUAAACCUUACAUUGAAAAUCUUUUUUAACUUGGAAAAUGUUUCUCUCAAAUGUAAAGUACUAGAAAAACGGAAAGAAGAUUAUAUACGAUUAAUUCUGUUAUGAGCAUGGAAAAUCUAUUUACAAAUUAGAUAUCGAUGAAACAGAGAGAGAAAUCUCUCUCGAACUCUCUUCCCUUUUUACCAAUUAAAAAUCUUUCAGAAGGGUUAAAGAUCUUUUUGAGAGUGAGAGAGAUAGUCUUUUUUGUUCUCCGGUUUCGAUUCAUCCGACCGGCAUCCGACUCCGGCGAAGUUCCAUAUCCUCGGAGAUUUUCGUCCGGCUUUUGACUCUGGCGACGUUGACUUGUUCCUCGGUGACGUCGGCCGGCUUCUUCUCCGGUCUUUUCCGGAGUUUUUAUGUUCUUUUUGUCCUCGCCUCUAUUAGUUUUUCUAAAGUCUCAUCCCUCUUUUGAUCUUGGAUCCCGUUGCUUCAUCCUCCCCGUUUAGGGUUUAAUCAUCUUCAAGCUUCUUCUUAUCAUUAAAAAUGACUGUUUUUUUUAAAAGCAGGAUAAUGGGAUCUUGGAGAUCAAUUGGUUGUGGUUGUUUCUACUCUCGUAGGUGAGGUUCCGUGUUAUGGCGUUGAAGAUUGGUCCUUUUGGGUUGGCUGCUCUAUUGAGUGGUUCUUCCAUCAGUUUGAUUGACUUCCGGCGGCUUGUCGGAGUUCAGUCGAGAGACCUCUCCGUCGGUGAAGAUUGAUGAUGGGUUCUCCGUAAAGCAACACGUGUUUCCGACUGUUCGAGUCUUGACGCGUGGAUCGUGAGCGGUUCAUCUCUUUCUUUCUAUCUUGGUUUGCCCUUCUUGGGCCUUUAUGUUAUUUUUCUGUUGUUGUUUUCUUUGGGUCUUGUUGGGUCUGGUUUGUAUAGACUUUUGGUUAAUAAAACUUCAGUUGACAAAAAAAAAAGCAUGGAAAAUCUAUAUCUUUAUAUAUAUACACGUUGGCAUUUAGUGAAUAUGAAUGAAACAAGGGGACACAUAUAUUGGCUGCAGAAAAACGAGAGGGCAGCUUGAGCUGGGUUCUUAGCUGUCGCUACAGUGAACUAAUUGCCACAUCAAAUAGUAACCAUUUAUUGCUUUAACUAAAUUGCACAGUGUGAGGAAUGGGAAGCAGCAAAAAUACAAAAACAAAGAAGAAAUAAGCGACAAAAAUGUACAAGUGAUUGCAAUGGGAAUGAAGAUGUAUUACUGUUAAAGUCAAAAUCGGAACUAUGUGUCGAUGUGUAAGAAGCAGCAACACUUUGUUAUGUCUUUUGUCUUCUUCUCAUAUCUCUAGCUGUACAUCUUACAUACUUUCUUGUCUUGUUUUUCAUCUCCUCUACCAUUUCUUGUCGACACAAUCUAAAUUAACAACAAGAAACUAAAAAGACUUGUUUAGUCGACAUGAAUCAUGGUUGAUGGAAGGUUACGAGCACUUCGUGCUAAUUUUAUAGUUUAUGUGUAUUAAUGUCGGUUAAUUAUGUCAAUAACUGAAAGUAGGGAAAACUCAUUAUAGUGAUGAAAUGCGUCCCAAGUGUGUCGAGAAUGCAAGUCCCUCUAGAGGCAUAGACACUAUUUGCACCCAGUCAGAACAAUCUCUAACACUUCAUCGAGGCGUUGAACAACUUUUAUAUACUCUAUUGCCCAAAUCAAAAUCUCACAUUUUAUAUGUAAAACAAUAUUUUUUUCGGCUCUUCAUUGUUCCCAUCAUUGGUUCUUCAUAUUUUUUUCACUACAAUACCAACCCUGUCCUGAGAAGAUAUCUAGAUCUUUCCAGUCGCCAUCCACUUGACACAGCCUAUAGCAUUGGUUUGCAUUCAUUAAAGUUGCAGACUCUAAGUUGGCAUCAUUCUUGUUAAAUCUUCUCUACCAUUUAUUCCUCUAAUUACCUGCUUAUUAAUUACACAUCCUUACAUGGGCCUUCUUAGGCCCGUUUAAAAUAUUAGGGCCUUGUCCAAUUUUAAGCUAGGGGAAGUAGAAACCCUAGCUAUAUAUAGUAGAGAGACGAGUGAAACUCAGCUGAACAUCCGAGCUCGGCGAUUUCACGAUGAGAGCCAAGUGGAAGAAGAAGCGCAUGAGGAGAUUGAAGAGGAAGCGCAGAAAGAUGAGACAGAGAUCUAAGUAGUCUUUGUCUUGCUCUAUCUUCUAAUCUCUGGUGGUUGCUUUCUAGUUUCUUGAACCGUUUAUGUUUUGUGUUUUUUACAUUCAAGUUUUGAACAAUCAUGUGUAGAACAUGUUAUUUGCUUACUCCCUUUUAUUAUCUACAAAGCAGAGGUUUAAUAUUA
This is a long non-coding RNA of Brassica napus (rape), 3862 nucleotides long. RefSeq lists it as uncharacterized. The transcript is spliced from 2 exons. The record is from RefSeq and is a predicted model, not a curated record. Lineage: Eukaryota; Viridiplantae; Streptophyta; Magnoliopsida; Brassicales; Brassicaceae.